GUCCAGCUAUUAUGUUACAAUCUAAAGAAAUGUCGUUUUAACGCUAUUUUCUGAAAAGUGUCCACGACAUAGUCGUUAAUUAUUUCCAUUACACUGCUCUUAGCAUAUAUUUAUUUAUAUUUUCAGAAUGUGCAUUUGCUGCACUUUUUUGUUCGAAAAAAAAAGAAAUAUGUUGAACGUGAAUGUUUAAAGUUAUGUGAUAAACUAAGUGUCCAGUGUCUUUGUUACACUUACGUUUUCUGGGAGGAAAU
This 251-nucleotide long non-coding RNA is filed under the name Mytilus galloprovincialis (Mediterranean mussel). The record is from RNAcentral. Lineage: Eukaryota; Metazoa; Mollusca; Bivalvia; Mytilida; Mytilidae.